GACGAACGCUGGCGGCGUGCUUAACACAUGCAAGUCGAACGGAAAGGCCCUGCUUUUGUGGGGUGCUCGAGUGGCGAGCGGGUGAGUAACACGUGAGUAACCUGCCCUUGACUUUGGGAUAACUUCAGGAAACUGGGGCUAAUACCGGAUAGGAGCUCCUGCUGCAUGGUGGGGGUUGGAAAGUUUCGGCGGUUGGGGAUGGACUCGCGGCUUAUCAGCUUGUUGGUGGGGUAGUGGCUUACCAAGGCUUUGACGGGUAGCCGGCCUGAGAGGGUGACCGGCCACAAUGGGACUGAGAUACGGCCCAGACUCCUACGGGAGGCAGCAGUGGGGAAUAUUGCACAAUGGGCGGAAGCCUGAUGCAGCAACGCCGCGUGCGUGAUGACGGCCUUCGGGUUGUAAACCGCUUUCGCCUGUGACGAAGCGUGAGUGACGGUAAUGGGUAAAGAAGCACCGGCUAACUACGUG
RNAcentral lists this ribosomal RNA (468 nucleotides) under uncultured bacterium. Its description in RNAcentral is "partial 16S ribosomal RNA". It matches the Rfam family "Bacterial small subunit ribosomal RNA", at positions 28 to 507 of the family's 1533-position model. The record is from RNAcentral.